Molecule: ribosomal RNA, 609 nt
Filed under: Acinetobacter johnsonii
Lineage: Bacteria; Pseudomonadati; Pseudomonadota; Gammaproteobacteria; Moraxellales; Moraxellaceae
Description: bacterial SSU rRNA
Rfam family: Bacterial small subunit ribosomal RNA
Source: RNAcentral
GGUUGUAAAGCACUUUAAGCGAGGAGGAGGCUACUCUAGUUAAUACCUAGAGAUAGUGGACGUUACUCGCAGAAUAAGCACCGGCUAACUCUGUGCCAGCAGCCGCGGUAAUACAGAGGGUGCGAGCGUUAAUCGGAUUUACUGGGCGUAAAGCGUGCGUAGGCGGCUUUUUAAGUCGGAUGUGAAAUCCCUGAGCUUAACUUAGGAAUUGCAUUCGAUACUGGGAAGCUAGAGUAUGGGAGAGGAUGGUAGAAUUCCAGGUGUAGCGGUGAAAUGCGUAGAGAUCUGGAGGAAUACCGAUGGCGAAGGCAGCCAUCUGGCCUAAUACUGACGCUGAGGUACGAAAGCAUGGGGAGCAAACAGGAUUAGAUACCCUGGUAGUCCAUGCCGUAAACGAUGUCUACUAGCCGUUGGGGCCUUUGAGGCUUUAGUGGCGCAGCUAACGCGAUAAGUAGACCGCCUGGGGAGUACGGUCGCAAGACUAAAACUCAAAUGAAUUGACGGGGGCCCGCACAAGCGGUGGAGCAUGUGGUUUAAUUCGAUGCAACGCGAAGAACCUUACCUGGUCUUGACAUAGUAAGAACUUUCCAGAGAUGGAUUGGUGCCUUC